This 72-nucleotide transfer RNA is filed under the name Tarentola mauritanica (Moorish gecko). Its description in RNAcentral is "tRNA-Leu". Lineage: Eukaryota; Metazoa; Chordata; Lepidosauria; Squamata; Phyllodactylidae. The record is from RNAcentral.
ACUUUCAAAGGAUAAUAGUUUUCCAUUAAUUUUAGGAAUUAAUAAUUCUCGGUGCAACCCCAAGUGAAAGUA